Long non-coding RNA from Felis catus (domestic cat), 1705 nucleotides. RefSeq lists it as uncharacterized. NCBI's taxonomy places the organism in Eukaryota, Metazoa, Chordata, Mammalia, Carnivora, Felidae. The record is from RefSeq and is a predicted model, not a curated record. The transcript has 3 exons.
GCCCCGACCUGCAACUCUGUUCCUCUCCCAGACAUCACAGUUGUUUAAUGGCCAGCCUGUUGCCGCUGUCCCGAGCGCACAUUUGCAGGGCGCUUCCUUCCCGGACGUCGCAGGAUAGAUUGCAAGAGGGCCUGUGGUCCAGUGAGGACCCUGAUGCGGGGAAAUCUCUUUCUGCCCUUUCGUACUAGACAAGGCACGGGCUGGAGGUGAGCCGCAUUGGUUAGAAUCAGCAGGACAGGUGGCCACAUGAAGCCAGGGGCGGUCCAGGGCCGUGGGGUCCCAUCAGCUAGCUGAUGUUGGUGAGCACACAGCAAAAGGGAUGUAUAGACUGAAUAGACCGGAUCUGAGGACUUGUCUUCAUCAACGAAUAGGAAUAAUGAACACAUUGAAUUCUUCUCACGUGAUGAGUGGACACUGUUCUUAGCAUUGUUCUAAUGCUUCUCAUGCGUGUUCUAAACAUGCAUAAUCUAAUUUCAUGACAUUAUUCCUGAUUUUAUAGAUGAAGAAUCUGAGCCACUAAGAGAUGACAUCACUUGGCCAAGGUCACACAACUUCUGGGGCCAAUGUUCUGUUUUGCCUUUGUGAGGAAGAGGGAACACGCAUUGCACUUUUCUGCAGGAAAAACAAGCUGAUGUCAAGGAUUCUUUUAGAAAAGCAACUUUCAGGGCCAUUGCUGAGAUCACCACCCAUUCAGCAAAUGUCCCAAAUGCUGAAUGCACUUCUGUGUCUCAGCCCCGUGGCAUUACUGGUGUUCAUCACGACCGCCUUCGACUACCCAGGAAAGGUUAAUUUAUAUUUUGUAAGCUCUGCUUAAUGAGGCAGGGGGAGCGAGUAACGAGCUUUAAAAAGAUCUCUAUCAGAACCAAAUUACGGAAGUUAAGCAGUUAAAUGAAUUAACCCCUCCACCCGAAAAGCUCGGCUAACCCAGUGACGCUUUCUGGAGGAUCCUCAGCUUCAGACGUUGUCCCUUCUGGACGGACUCUGCUCACGGGCCACCGGUGUUGCCCCUUCAUCUGCACGUCAGGAAUGAGCAGUGUCUCACCAAGUACUCCCAGGAGAUGGCGGGGAUCACGCGGUCAAGUUCUCUUUCUUCCCCUGGCCUCGGUCUGAAAUUCCCCAAACGUUUGGGGCCCUGCAAUGCUGGGCAGCAGGCAGUUUCCCCAGCAGUUGCCCUGGCAUCUUGCCCCCUUCGCACAAAGCAAUCACUGUUGCAGAAAAUGAGGGUCCUGUGACCGUUUGGCACCAACCCCCGCCUGGCAUUCGCGUGGGAGAAGGAAAUGUCUGUCUCUCUGACAAUAGAUUCUGAUCACAACCCGGGCCCCUUUCAGAGAAACAGCUUCCCAUAGAAUGACUGCCUAGAGGAUACCAUAUGGCACCAUGUCUCCUGUGAUCCGUGAAGCUUUCUCUGUUGUUCCUUAUUUUCCACGACCUUGGCAUUUUUAGGUAUUUUAUUGAAUGUUCCCCGAUUUAGGCUUCUCUGAAGUUUUCUCAUGAUUAGACCCGAGUUAUGGAUUUUCUGGAGGUAUACCACAGAAGCAAAGUGCCCGUGCUCCACCCUAUAUCAGGAAAUGCUACGGAUUGGAAGUGAAUCACUAAGUCCAGCUUAUACUCAGAGGGAGGGAACUGAAACCCCACUCCCUGGAGGGGGGAGAAUCUACAUCUAUAAUUUGGAAUUCCUCUAUAAAGAUUUGUCUCUUCCCGGUAA